GUGCUUGCUUCAGCAGCACAUAUACAAAAACUGGAACGAUACCAAGAAGAUUAGCAUGACCCCUGCACAAGGAUGACACACAAAUUCAUGAAGAGUUAAAAUUAAAG
This is a small nuclear RNA of Rhinopithecus bieti (black snub-nosed monkey), 107 nucleotides long. The record is from Ensembl. NCBI's taxonomy places the organism in Eukaryota, Metazoa, Chordata, Mammalia, Primates, Cercopithecidae.